GGGGACGGGGCCCGCGUAACACAGAUCGUGCCGUACAUCCCCUUUGUAGAAUAUUGCAUAUUCUAUGUUUCUAUUGAUUAUAUAUAUGGAUGUGUGGAUUGACAUAAGUAACAGAUGGUAUCAAUAAGUCACAAGGCUUUCUUUGUCCGAGAGCUCUGGAAUGUGGAUUCGGGGGUUUUGUCCUUAUAUGGCUAGAGUUAUAUGCCGACGUUAGUAUUAACACUUCUAUAUAGUAACAGAGGGACACGAGGUCUCUCUCUCUUAGCUUGGCUCUGUACAACAAUGUCACUCUCCCAUCAGAAGUACAGCAAUUACCAUCUGCUGUUGAAUGUCUACUAUCCUGUAACAUCCUUUAUUAUGUAUCCGUAACAAAGAAUAAACCCGAAGAAACCGUAAGUCAGAUUGCGUAUUACUACUUUUCAAUAAUAUAGACAUAUAUUAUUGUGGCGAGCAUUUGGCCCAAGACUAUAUAUACAAAAGACGUAUAUAUAUCAAUCAACUGAAGACAAGAGGAAAUUAAGAAGAUUCCACAUUAUCACCAAUCUCAUCUACAUUUUACAUUGGCUAGCCUGCCAGUCUUCUAUUCAAGUUUUGUUCCCACUUCAAGGGGGGAGAGAGAAGAAUCGAGUUACAAAGCUAUUUUGGAACUGGGAAAACAAACUUGAAGAGAAAAAAAGAAUCUAGACUGUGGUUUGUAUGAAAAAGAUUUUCAAAUCAUAAAGACUGUACAAGCAGUGGCGUACAUACCAGGGUCGCAGGGGUCGCGGCUGCGACCGGGCCCGGCCCACCAGGGGGCCCGGCCGCCCCUGCGACCCGGUAUGUACGCCCAGGGCCAGCCUCUUCCCCUGGGGGGCCCAGGAGCCGACCACCCCAGGGCCCCCCGAGGCUGGCCCUGCUGUCACACACACACUCCUGGGCGGGUGGCCGGUCGGGCAGGCAGGCGGGCGGGCGAGGGAGCACUCAGUUUCCAGAUCCAAGCAAAGAACUGCGCAGCUGUAUGGAUGAAGCAACGAAAUAGACAGAGAUAACUGAUCUGGUGAGUAACAUGGAAUUUAUAAACGAUAUUGCAGAGAAAAGUAAAUUGCAGUUUGCAUGUAAUAGCAGCUAUUCAGAUACUGUUUUGUGGCAAUCUUUAUACACACAAUGUGAAAUUGCCAAUAGUGAAAUUGACAAGAAAUUGUUUGUUAAUAAGAAAAAACAAAAGAUCAGAAAUGUUAUGAAAUUAGUCUGUACUUACAAUGCAUUGAUUUGUAAACGAGAUGCUGGUCAAGAAAAUUUAGAAUCAUCAGAAAAAGAAGUAGAUUUGAAUGGGUUAACAGAAGACAAAUCAGAUUUAAAUGAACAGUGUAACAAUGUAACAGAGAGAACAGUGUAACAAUGUAACAGAGAGAACAUUGUCAGAAACAGUCUGUGAAUUAGAGGAUAGAGUUUAACUAAGAAAUGAUCUUAUUUGCCAGUUUAGAAAUGAAGUUAAACUAGUGUGUGUUAAUACAAGAAAAAUACAGGCACAGAAUCUAAUCCCAGAACCAAUAGAUACUGAAAAUGUAUCCUCACAGAGUGAUUUGCAGAAAUGCAAAACUUAAUUUGAAAAUCCAUGAACAAUAAAUGAAAAUUGUGAAAUGUAUUCCAGUUUAUGACACGUCAGUGGAUGCAUUUACUAAUGCUGAAAUGUUUGAGUCUAAUUUGGACAAAUACAGCCUAAAUGACGAACAAAGGAAUAGACUAUUUCAAACAUGGCUGCCGACUCAAAUGGCAUGUAGACUGACCGCACCCCUAAGAUUUCAGGACAAUGAUGAAAUAAUAUAUGGAAAUAAGCAAGACAGAUUAACACAAUUAAUAAAAUUAACAACAGGGAAUGAUUUUGCAGACACUGAAAUGUUGGAAAAACUAAAACCACACAAAGGGGAGGAUAUAUUUAGUUUUCUUGCAAAAUUUGAAAGUGCAUAUAGACUUGUUGCUGAUUUUCCUGAGAAUCAGUUAAUUAAUGAAUUUGUGAAAAAAUUUCAAGAUCUAGAUCCAACUGCAAUUGUGUUAGCUAGAGAAAAAAGCACUUUGACAGAAGUAGCUUUGUUCUUGGAUAACUUAAGGAGAGAAACCAAUAAUGAAGGGGUUAAAAUGACUUGUGGAUUUAGGCAGAGAAAGAAGUGCAGAUGUUACAGCCCUCGUCCCCCUCCUUCUUCUUCUUCGUGGACUCAGUGUAAAAGAGUGAUACAGACAGCUGAGCCACUCCCAAUUUGCUCAAAUAAAAGGCCGAAUAUAACUCCUAAAGUUAUUUGUUUUUGGUGCAAUAAACAACAUUAUUUAAGAUCUUGCAGAUAUUUUAUCCGAGAUAUCAAAUCAAAAGCAAAUGAGAAAUUAAAUUUGUUGAUUGAAAAUUUUGACAGAGAAAAUACAUGUGGAGAUAAAUCAAUUAAAGCCUUUCCUUGUAAACUGAUAAUCAGACAAAUAAAAGCAAUUUUAGCUAAAUCGAAAUUAAGAGACAGACAAGCAAUGCAGUGUAACACAGAAAGUUAUAAGAAUCAGGUAACUUCAAGAGAUAUGAUCAGUUUAGGGAAUGAGCAUGGAUAUGUGUGCCAACAGAUGUACACAGGCUGAUUCCAGAAUUAAGAACAGCCAAGAAUAGAGUUCUAUGUUAGUUUGUUUUACUGAAUUGUUAGUCUGAACUGUUUUUUUCAUUGUUUUUAUGUGUGUUAUAAGAAUGUAUUAGGUUAAUUAAUUAAAAUAAAAAUUUACAUCAAGUUUGCAAAUAUGGCAGAAUGAAAUACACUAAUGUAGCAGUUAGGCACAUGCGAUUAUACAGUAACUCCAAUCAUUUUACAGAAGGAAAAAACAAUGUUGAUACUUCUGAGGUUGAUUUAAAAUCUUUGAUUUAAUUCAUGAGAAUGAGAUUUCAAUGUCAUGACUGAUAAUGGAUUACUAUAUUUUGCAAAGCCUGGACAUACAUAUGUUUUGACUACAUAGAACACAAAAGUUUUGAUAGGAUAAAACCUAGAUUUGCAGAUAGAUUUGAUGUAGGAAACAAUAUAUGUUUUUUGUAGUUUGUUUCAUGUGACAAAAUGGUGCCAGUGUUAAGACAAAAUGGCUGCUAUUGCUAAAGUAUAGUGGAAAACAAUAUUUUGUUGUAACAUCUGACGUGAUUAGGUUAUACCUCCAGAUUAUUAAACAGUUUAAAGGGGGGUAUGAUUAAUAAGGUAUGAUUAAUAAAAAGUUUGAAAAUUAAAAUGUGUAGAAAAGAUAUUUUGAUAUAGAGGAAAUUUAAAGAUUAUACAUCACAUGACAAAUGUAAUGACCACUAGAUGGUAGUUCUCAUGAGAAAAAAUGAGAAUGUUGUGUAGUCAAUGUGAUUCAAUGUUAAACUGUGUAAUAAUAAUGAAAUAUAAACAUUGUAAGCCAUUGUAUUGAUGCUGCACAUGUUAUUUGUUUUAAUGUAGGUAAAGCGUGACAGAUCCUUGUGGCAGUAAAUUAGGAAAGAAUUCCUUCAGACAAUUGGACAUCGACUGUUGGAAAGAGACUUUUCAUCUGAUCUGCAAACUGUGAUGGAAGAUUCUAUAGAGUUCAUUCGAUACAGAAGUUUAACAGACUUACAAAGAAAUAAAAGAUUGACACUAACAUACAUAUAUAUUCCUAAAUAUUAAUGAAGAAAACAGACAAUGAAAAGUUAUUUAACAGUUAUGAGUAUUAAUACCAACAGAGACUACUUAUAGCGAUAUAACACAUGGAGUAAAAUUAUGAUAGGAUAGUAUUAUGAAGAGAACUAUUACAUUAUUACCUAUACAUAGAAUGAGAAGUAUCAGAGGAAGAUAAAAUAUGAAGUUGAUAAAAUAAGGAUCAUGGUUACGUAAUACUACAAAGAUUGAGUGCAAUAGUAUUUCAUAGAUUUACUAGAAUAAAUAUGUUUAUAAUCGAGGUGAAGUAAAACAAACAAUGGUAACAUAAGGAAGAAAACUAAGGAAGGAUAAUUUAUAUUGAUUAAUAUUAAGUAAUUAUAUACAUUAAGAGUUCAGAGAUCCAAGAGGAAUUGAAGUUUAGUUAAGAGUAUAGUACACAAUUAUAUUUGACCUAAGUCUAUAAAGGUAUGGACUAGGGAGAAUAGGUUUCUGGAUAUGAUGGUAUCCAAUGAAUACGUUGUUAUAAGUUCUUUUAUGAUUACCCUGAGUUUGUUAGACACAGACUAGGAAUAAGAGUUUCUGGGCAGUAUGACCCCAAGUUUUGUUUAUUUUAAUUUAGUCAGUUGAAGUGUACUAAGGAAUACGGAUUGGUCAGAACAUUAGGACAAUCCUGCUUUUAAGAUGUAUUACAUUAAUAAGUCAUCACAAUGCUAAUGAAGAGAGUGAUGAUAAUUAAUUUACAUUAUUCUUUCCAAAUUCUUUUAAAGUAAACCAUUCUCCGAUUGAAUGAAAAGUUUGUUACUACAAGGUGGAAUUUUAGUCAAAAUUAUAAUUAUGUGAACAAAAACAAAUCUAUGAUAGAAAGAUUUCUGGGUGGAGAAUUUCUAGGACAAUAAGUAUUGUCAACACCAUGAACAUUAUUUGAAGAAUUAUUAUAGAAUUUCAUGGUUGAUAACACAUCCUUUGAAUGAGACUUAUAAGUAGUGUUGAUAUAUUUCAGGUAGUUAGAGCCUCCUGAAUAUAAAAAUUAAAUACUAUGAUUGUAAAGUACUGGUACAAUCAUCACUAGGUGGUAUUAAUGGUAUAGGAAUGUAAUUCAUGAAUACAAAUGACCUAAAGAUUUUAAGGUUGCUAGAAACCAUAUGAUUCAUGGAAAUCUAAUUGGACAGGAUAUUAUAGUAAUACAUGUAUUAGUAUUUAAAUAAUAUCAGGUAUUGAGAAUGAAAAUACUAUGCUAUAUGUGUCUUUAUUAGGAAUAUGAUAGUGAUACACAGUUAUUAUCUAGAAAGUUACGAUCUUGAUUUUGUUAUCUACAAAGACAUGACUGUACCAGAGCAGGUAGAUCUUUCUGAUUGCUUUAUUGUUUAUUGGAUAACAUUUGUAAAUAUUUUAUUUUAUUCAUUUAUUAUUAUAUGUAUAUAUUAUGUUCAAGUAGUUAUGAUGUAACAUGGAUAUGGAUAUCAAUACAUAACUGAAACAGAGGGUGUUUUGAAGUAAAGUAAGCAGUAUGAGGGAUAGAAACUCGAUCUUCUAAGAACUCUCAUAUAAUAGAAAGUUGUGACUACAUCUUGUUCUAUACUCAAUGAAUGUGAUACAAGUGAUAUAUGAAUGGACAGGUUAGUGAGAUUGUGUUAUGGUUUUAAAACAAACCAUAAACAGAGGGAAUGUAGAAUAUUGCAUAUUCUAUGUUUCUAUUGAUUAUAUAUAUGGAUGUGUGGAUUGACAUAAGUAACAGAUGGUAUCAAUAAGUCACAAGGCUUUCUUUGUCCGAGAGCUCUGGAAUGUGGAUUCAGGGGUUUUGUCCUUAUAUGGCUAGAGUUAUAUGCUGACGUUAGUAUUAACACUUCUAUAUAGUAACAGAGGGACACGAGGUCUCUCCCUCUUAGCUUGGCUCUGUACAACAAUGUAACUCUCCCAUCAGAAGUACAGCAAUUACCAUCUGCUGUUGAAUGUCUACUAUCCUGUAACAUCCUUUAUUAUGUAUCCGUAACAAAGAAUAAACCCGAAGAAACCGUAAGUCAGAUUGCGUAUUACUACUUUUCAAUAAUAUAGACAUAUAUUAUUGUGGCGAGCAUUUGGCCCAAGACUAUAUAUACAAAAGACGUAUAUAUAUCAAUCAACUGAAGACAAGAGGAAAUUAAGAAGAUUCCACAUUAUCACCAAUCUCAUCU
Molecule: long non-coding RNA, 5779 nt
Filed under: Pelobates cultripes (western spadefoot toad)
Lineage: Eukaryota; Metazoa; Chordata; Amphibia; Anura; Pelobatidae
Source: RNAcentral